GAUCCGGCGUCGUCGGGUUGAGUGGAGUUGAUGUCAUACCAUUCACAGGUUGAUCUCUGAUGGCAUCAGCUUCCUUGUAGAACGGAAUGGUAUCG
RNAcentral lists this microRNA precursor (95 nucleotides) under Haemonchus contortus (barber pole worm). Its description in RNAcentral is "microRNA hco-mir-5947 precursor". The record is from miRBase by way of RNAcentral. Lineage: Eukaryota; Metazoa; Nematoda; Chromadorea; Rhabditida; Trichostrongylidae.